GACGAACGCUGGCGGCGUGCUUAACACAUGCAAGUCGAACGGAAAGGCCCUGCUUUUGUGGGGUGCUCGAGUGGCGAACGGGUGAGUAACACGUGAGUAACCUGCCCUCGACUUUGGGAUAACUUCAGGAAACUGGGGCUAAUGCCGGAUAGGAGCUCCUGCUGCAUGGUGGGGGUUGGAAAGUUUCGGCGGUUGGGGAUGGACUCGCGGCUUAUCAGCUUGUUGGUGGGGUAGUGGCUUACCAAGGCUUUGACGGGUAGCCGGCCUGAGAGGGUGACCGGCCACAUUGGGACUGAGAUACGGCCCAGACUCCUACGGGAGGCAGCAGUGGGGAAUAUUGCACAAUGGGCGGAAGCCUGAUGCAGCAACGCCGCGUGCGGGAUGACGGCCUUCGGGUUGUAAACCGCUUUCGCCUGUGACGAAGCGUGAGUGACGGUAAUGGGUAAAGAAGCACCGGCUAACUACGUG
RNAcentral lists this ribosomal RNA (468 nucleotides) under uncultured bacterium. RNAcentral's name for it is "partial 16S ribosomal RNA". It matches the Rfam family "Bacterial small subunit ribosomal RNA", at positions 28 to 507 of the family's 1533-position model. The record is from RNAcentral.